AAUCACCCAAACUGGGCAAGUGGGCAGCCGCGUACUCCUCCUCCUUCCUCCUCCCUCUUUCCUCUCAAACCUUUCUUCUUCCUUUCACUGAGCUUCUUCUCCUUCCUCAAAACCCUAAUUUACAUUUCUUAAUUUGUUCGAGUUUCGGCUGGUAGGAUUGAUACUCUCGCACGCAUACAAGGACUGAAUGUCUGCAAUUGUGCGCAUCGCCGGCGUUCUUUGAACUCUCAGUUCUUUCAAUUUCAAUUUUUUAAGAUUUGGGGAAGAAAUCGAGUUCCAGAAUCACUCUCUUUGGUCAAUAAUUAGAAGGCAAAGAUGUUGCUGAAGCCUGACAGGACUGUUGUAACUGAACCACAUCAUAUAUGGCCGUCCCUAAAUGACGAUCAAUGCAUGAAGGUUGAGGCCGCUUUAAGAGAUCUUAUACUUUCUGAUUAUGCCAAGAAGAACAACGUGAACACCUCGGCUUUAACCCAGUCAGAAAUUCGUGAUAUCAUUAUGGGUGCAGAGAUCACUCAUCCGUCUCAACAGAGACAGAAGAUCGCUGAGAUUGAGAAGCAGGUGACUGUCAAUUCCGGUAGAGUUGUCUUCUUUGCUUUGUUCAAAACUGUAAAUGAUGGUUGCAAAUUAAGAGAAAGAGUGUUGCAGUGAUCAAGUUUUCAUCUUAUAAAAUGGCCACACAAUCAGAACGCUUUGGCUAUGAAUUAUCAUAGUGGCUAGGAGUUUGAAUAGCUUAGGCAAGAGUCAUUCAUAAAGGAAAGGCCGGAGAAGUAGCUGCUUCAGAGUGGCGUCGCAUAAAGGAGGUUGCUGAAAAGCCCGGAGAAGUAGCUGCUUCAGAGAGAGAUGAAGUUGGCUAAGAGACAUGCUCUGAGCUUCUUGAAACUCUUGAACUAAGCCGAUGCCUUUUGUUGAAGUAUGCCCUCUGUGUGGGUGUGUGUUUAGACAUAGUUUGUAGUGCUGGAAGCAAAACUUUUAUGCACUAAAUUUUCGAUUUGUUUUCCUUCAAAAGUCUGCUUAUGGCAAUUUUACAAGUUUAAAUAACAAGGGUGGAGAGAGAGUUUUCCUGGGCUACUGUAUCUGUUCUAGACUCGGAUGAUUUUGGACUAUAAUAAGACAUAAUCGUCCUAUCAUGCAGGAUAUAGUAUGUAGAGACUAUAACAGGAUUAUGGAAUUAUGUUAGCACCUGCACCUCCUUUAUUAUCUGUAAUGAAAUUUUGAUUUUUCGUUGUGA
Molecule: RNA transcript, 1228 nt
Organism: Spinacia oleracea (spinach)
Lineage: Eukaryota; Viridiplantae; Streptophyta; Magnoliopsida; Caryophyllales; Amaranthaceae
Gene name: pre-mRNA-processing-splicing factor 8A-like
Exons: 5
Source: RefSeq, a predicted model, not a curated record